Cyprinus carpio (common carp) is the source of this 359-nucleotide long non-coding RNA. RefSeq lists it as uncharacterized. NCBI's taxonomy places the organism in Eukaryota, Metazoa, Chordata, Actinopteri, Cypriniformes, Cyprinidae. The record is from RefSeq and is a predicted model, not a curated record. The transcript is spliced from 3 exons.
GUUAACUUCCUGAAUUGUGUAAUUUUUUUUUUUUUCAGAACUUUACACUUUAUACGCUUUGGAAAUGAAUUGAUGUGUUUGCCUUCCUGUUUUUUACGGUUGUGUGUAUUAAACGAGGAUCAUUUCUCAAUGAAAUGCAGAAAGCACAAGAACAAGUCCAUUAAAGGAUCAUCUUAUCGUCAAAUCAACAGGUGACAGGAGAAAGAGGAAGCUAUGCAAGAGUGCGGUUGACCUCUAACUCCAGCGUUCCUCCGCGGGACCUUCAGACAGAACGGGCCAACACCCAUCCACCUUAAUAAUUUUGCUGUUGCACUGCUCAUAACACCUGUCACUAUCACACAAAACGCCACUUUGAUGGU